This 84-nucleotide transfer RNA is filed under the name Sphingobacteriaceae bacterium. RNAcentral's name for it is "tRNA-Leu". It matches the Rfam family "tRNA". Rfam says of the family: Transfer RNA (tRNA) molecules are approximately 80 nucleotides in length. Their secondary structure includes four short double-helical elements and three loops (D, anti-codon, and T loops). Further hydrogen bonds mediate the characteristic L-shaped molecular structure. tRNAs have two regions of fundamental functional importance: the anti-codon, which is responsible for specific mRNA codon recognition, and the 3' end, to which the tRNAs corresponding amino acid is attached (by aminoacyl-tRNA synthetases). tRNAs cope with the degeneracy of the genetic code in two manners: having more than one tRNA (with a specific anti-codon) for a particular amino acid; and 'wobble' base-pairing, i.e. permitting non-standard base-pairing at the 3rd anti-codon position. The record is from RNAcentral. Lineage: Bacteria; Pseudomonadati; Bacteroidota; Sphingobacteriia; Sphingobacteriales; Sphingobacteriaceae. RNAcentral also lists the same sequence under 1 other name.
GCCCAGGUGGUGAAAUUGGUAGACACGCUACUUUGAGGGGGUAGUGGGAGUAUUCCUGUGCUGGUUCGAGUCCAGUCCUGGGCA